Molecule: ribosomal RNA, 253 nt
Filed under: uncultured bacterium
Lineage: Bacteria
Description: partial 16S ribosomal RNA
Rfam family: Bacterial small subunit ribosomal RNA
Source: RNAcentral
UACGUAGGGUGCGAGCGUUGUCCGGAAUUACUGGGCGUAAAGCGUGCGCAGGCGGUUUUGUAAGCCAGAUGUGAAAUCCCCGGGCUUAACCUGGGAAUGGCAUUUGGGACUGCAAGGCUGGAGUGCGGCAGAGGAGACUGGAAUUCCUGGUGUAGCAGUGAAAUGCGUAGAUAUCAGGAGGAAUACCGAUGGCGAAGGCAGGUCUCUGGGCUGACACUGACGCUCAUGCACGAAAGCGUGGGGAGCAAACAGG